CGGAUCAAAGAUGAAAGGAGAAGGAUGAAGAGAAAAACGCGUGAAUUUGAAAAGAAAGCAGAAGAGAGAAAAGUCGCUUUGGGUGUUUGGGGAUCGGUGUUGUGCUAAGAAACGCGAGAUAGACACGGAGAGACAGUUGAAAAAACCAAGAGGGAGAGAGGGCUUUUUAUUCAAGCAUACGAAAGACGGAUGGGAUUGGAAACUGCUCUUCUCCUUCCGCCGGACGGAGACCCUUUCUCUUGUUUUUGUUUGUG
Molecule: unclassified non-coding RNA, 254 nt
Filed under: Hevea brasiliensis (rubber tree)
Lineage: Eukaryota; Viridiplantae; Streptophyta; Magnoliopsida; Malpighiales; Euphorbiaceae
Source: RNAcentral